RNAcentral lists this long non-coding RNA (572 nucleotides) under Nicotiana benthamiana. RNAcentral's name for it is "long non-coding RNA (NBEN_LNC025094)". The record is from RNAcentral. Lineage: Eukaryota; Viridiplantae; Streptophyta; Magnoliopsida; Solanales; Solanaceae.
CCUAAUGGGUCAUAUCUGAGCCCGGGUCUCCUACCCAAUAUCCGACCCGCCCAGUUUGUUAUUUUGUAUAUACAUCUGUAUAGUUAGGUGAGAAGUAGCUUCUAGAGAUCAGAUUUUUAUUUUCAUUUUCCAAUACCGACUCUUCGGUUCUCUCAAUCUCUCCUCCUUCUCUCUACUUUCUCUCUCAAGAUUCUCUGUGAUUUUCUUAGUUAAUCUGAAUAUUGACAUGGUAUUAGAGCCUUACAACGAUCCGAUCAUGUUUAUUUGCAUAUCGGUGUCUCUUUUGAGCGUUUGUUUGACGAUUUUUUUGAGGAUUUAUCUGAGACCGACCGGUCGAUGAUGCUUCCGACUUUGAUCGGACAUGGUUCAGAGUGUUUUACACCAUGAUAUCCGGGUGUAUCUUCGUGACCUCAACGUACUAAGAAUCUCUGUCGGUUUUGGGUGAUUUUGGUGAAUUAUUGGUAUCUAGGGUUUUCGGUGGUUUUGACUUGCUGUUUUACCACCUCCCGGUGGUCCGAUUCUCAUCUCGUGGAUGUUUGGGUACCUUUCCGACAUCGUUUCUCAUAUUUNNN